UGCGAGAUCUGCUAAUGGUAGGCAGCUUGACUCUGAAUCAAGUAAUCUAGGUUCGAAUCCUAGUCUCGCAA
Candidatus Collierbacteria bacterium is the source of this 71-nucleotide non-coding RNA. Lineage: Bacteria; Candidatus Collieribacteriota. The record is from Rfam.